CAGCAGCCGCGGUAAUACGAAGGGUGCAAGCGUUAUUCGGAAUUAUUGGGCGUAAAGGGCGCGUAGGCGGCUAUUCAAGUGGCGGGUGAAAUCCCUCGGCUUAACCGGGGAACUGCCUGCCAGACUGGGUGGCUUGAGUCCGGGAGAGGUGAGUGGAAUUCCCAGUGUAGCGGUGAAAUGCGUAGAUAUUGGGAGGAACACCAGUGGCGAAGGCGGCUCACUGGACCGGAACUGACGCUGAGGCGCGAAAGCGUGGGGAGCA
This 262-nucleotide ribosomal RNA is filed under the name uncultured bacterium. Its description in RNAcentral is "partial 16S ribosomal RNA". It matches the Rfam family "Bacterial small subunit ribosomal RNA", at positions 509 to 770 of the family's 1533-position model. The record is from RNAcentral.